This 156-nucleotide ribosomal RNA is filed under the name uncultured fungus. Its description in RNAcentral is "5.8S ribosomal RNA". It matches the Rfam family "5.8S ribosomal RNA". From Rfam's summary of the family: 5.8S ribosomal RNA (5.8S rRNA) is a component of the large subunit of the eukaryotic ribosome. It is transcribed by RNA polymerase I as part of the 45S precursor that also contains 18S and 28S rRNA. Functionally, it is thought that 5.8S rRNA may be involved in ribosome translocation. The record is from RNAcentral. Lineage: Eukaryota; Fungi.
AACAACUUUUGGCAACGGAUCUCUUGGCUCUCGCAACGAUGAAGAACGCAGCGAAAUGCGAUAAGUAGUGUGAAUUGCAGAAUUCAGUGAAUCAUCGAAUCUUUGAACGCAUAUUGCGCUUCCUGGUAUUCCGGGGAGCAUGCUCGUUUCAGAAUC